GUGGGAUGCCCCCUCAGCAUGGCUUGAUGAGUGGUGCCAUGUCCGCGCCCAGGAUCCAAACCAGCGAAACCCUGGGCUGCUGAAGCAGAGCACAUGACCUUAACCACUCGGCCAUGGGGCCAGCCCCUAUCAUAAUGUUUUAAAAGACAGUGUUUACAUUACUGAAUAGAAAUAAGAAUAAGUUUACUCAUGAUUGCAUGAAGAGAAAACUUGUUUCAAUAAGGACUAAAGAGAAAGCCAAGGAAGUAUACCAAAAUGUUACAAAAAGAUUAACAAAAAGAUUGUGACUGGGAUAAAUAAAUAAAAUGAGCUGAAGGAAAAAAUAAUGUCCUAGGAACCCAGAUGAUGUUAUUUCCUUCUCCUUUAGGAAACAGAUCAUAUCUACAAGGGAAUGUUGUAAUGUAUAGAACUUUAUAGAAGAAAAAAUAUUCCUUUUUGUCUUUGGGGCCCAGGCCCUCAGAAUACAUGCAUUUUUAUUAAUAGCAACAAUAACUGCUGUUGUUUUUGUAAUAAUAAUUUCAUGCUAAGCAUUUGUUUUUAAUUUUUCAGCAAGACUAGCCCUGAGCUAACAUCUGUCAAUCCUCCUCUUUUUGCUGAGGAAGACUGGCCCUGAGCUAACAUCCAUGCCCAUCUUCCUCUAUUUUAUAUGUGGGACGCCUGCCACAGCAUGGCUUGCCAACUGGUGCCAUGUCCACACCCAGAAUUCAAACCGGUGAACCCCAGGCCGCCAAAGUGGAACGUGCACACUUAACUGCUGCACCACUGGGCCGGCCCCCAUGCUAAGCAUUUUUAAAUGAAGAUAGUGAACCUCAGGUAGGUUAAAUAACUAGCUUAAGGUCAUUAGUGGAAGCUAGUAAGCAGUUAAGCCAGAAUUCAAACCAAAGUCUGUUCCACUACAAAGCUUGUGGCGUUAACCUCUGUACAAACUGGCCAUAUACCCAACUCCAUCUCCACUUCCUCUGUCGCUUUCAACCAGUUGAGUUACUUCUGAUACGUGGAUCAGAGGCUUACCUUAACAUCUAGGUUGAUUACAUUGUUUUACUACAUUACAGGGCUCCAAUUUUAAUUUUUUUAAGGAAAAAAACAUUUACAGAAAACUUAAUUGUGACUAUGAUUUGAUUCAUAUAAAAAUGUUGAAGCUCUUAUAGGCACUACACCAAGAACAAAGGCAAAUGGGACAAAAAAAGAGCUCAAAGUAGGCCAUUUGCUGAAAUCUUAAAUUUGAUCAGCCCUUUCUUCCAGGGAAAAUAGUCUUUGUACCUGUUACAGGAGAGAGGAUUUAGAUAAAGUAUUUAACCCCUUGAGCUAUCUCCCACGCUCCACACAGGGUACAGAAACACAAAGAAUGAUUUACUCACCAAGGUUGAGCCCAGAUUUAAUAUUCUGUGUCUGAAGUUUCCCCAACUCCUAAAAUUUUCUGACUCUGAGUUUUCUCUCUUGUGGUUAGGGCAGCCAGACUGAUCUAACAGUCCCUGAAGACCCAUCUCUGAAUUUUGUGUUCUGUAUAUGCUAGUGUCUGCUUAGAAUGUGCAUUUCAGACGCUUGGGGACCCCCCUUUUCCUUAUGGGAUAGAACUUUGAGACAUACUAUCAGCCCCAGGGACCCUUUUGGGAAAACUUCUACCCAAGAUAAACACAAAAUAUUCUCAAUAGGAGACUGCCCUUUACUUCAUAAUAAAAGUAUAGCAAGCCUUUCUUAAGUUGUAGAAUAUGUGCUUUUCCUCUAAGACUCUCUAUCUCCUAAUACGUUGGCCUUAUUUCUAGGCAUAGUUUCAUGACGGUGGUUACCGUAAACCCACAGUGUACAAGUCCAUUUAGGAUCCAAGAGAGAGCCCAGACCUUGAGUAGUUCCCAGUUCAUAUAUUCACGAGACAUCCAUAAUCUAAGAUUGCCCAUUGCUUAUUCACUUGCUCAGAAUAUUCCUCAUUACCAGGCUUUAGAGCUGCUCUCCUAGACAGCUCUACCAAUACAGGCAAAUGUGUCAAGUCCCCUCCUUCAGGCUAUGUCAGGGUCCUACACAAGCCACCCAUCCACUUUUGUCCAUUGCUACAAGACCCUUUUCUCUCUUUCUAAAGAAAAAAACCACAGAUUUCCACUAAUAUCUCUUCUAUAGUGCUUGUGUGUGUGUGUGUGUGUGUGUGUGUGGGAAAUAUAAAAACUCCCAUCUCACCUGCCAAUAGAUUUUGGCUGUGUAUCUAACAAUUUUAAGUGACACUUAGCUUGUAGUAAAUGAUUGUUGAAUGAUAGGAUAAAUGAAUAUUUAAAUUCAUCUUCUCUAAUGCUUAUUCUUGUGCCUAGAAUACAAGACGUUUAUUUGUUGAAAUAAUUAAUCAAAGCAGUAAUUACUUGGAGUUAAAAUAUAUGUAAGUUUACCUACUGUAAACUUUCAAAAUACAUAAAAAUUCAUACAAAGAAUAAAGGACUCAUUACAUUACUAAUUCAUUCUCUCCUUACAUAAAAUUGUUUUGGAAAUAAACAAAUUUCAAAAUUGUGAGGCAAUGUUUUAUUGUUACAUUGUCAAAUGGUAAAAAUGAUUCAUUUAACAAAUAUUUAUUGGGCCCCAGCUGUGUGCCUGCCACUGCGCUGGCCUCUGAGACGCAGGGUGAUGGUAGUGAGUGAGGUGGAGGAGGUACUAGGUAAGGCUGGAGGAGGAGGCAGACCAUGCAGGGGCCUCUCCUCCCCAGCCCCCACCCAUGUGAAGCCAGGGCUGUUUCUAGGAAGAGGAGUGCCAUGGUAGGUGUGACAUAAUUUGCUUUGCUCAGUACCAGGAAUAGAGUAGAAGGAAGGUUCGAGUAGAUUUUAAUGGACCUGUAAAGCUACACAUUCACCCAAAGAGAAACCAUCUUUGAUUUGGAAGGACUGAGACACAUCUUGUCUGUUUCAUAGUUUUGUUUCAUUGCUGAUAACCAGUAAGGUGUUUCAGAAGUUUCUGUAUAAAUCAGGAGGUGAGAAAAAAGGCAGUUUGUAGUGAAAAUGCUUAAUUUGUGAAGCUAGUACAUUUUCACUUUAGCAGAAAUUUGAGAUAAUGUGAAACUGCCUUACAGUUUAUACUUUUAUGAUAAUGACUUUCUAUCUCCUCAUCAUUUAUAAAAUUCUAACAUCAAUAACUAAUGGCACAAUUUCUUUUUUAAGUAAUCAGUAAGACAUUCCAUAUGUAUUUUCAUCUUCUAAGCAACUUCAGAGGAAACAUUUUUUCAUGUUUAAUUCCUUACUGAGGUGACUGUAUCAAACUCAUGAUGUAGCUCUGUGUUUUAGAAAUGUAUUAUUUAAAGACUGCUUAACACUGCCAUCUUAUUGCAUCAGAAUGACUGUUCUCUUUGUCAUCCAUUCAUACUUUUGGCACCACUGCGUUCAAAUGAAUUAUCUACUUAUCGAGAUUGUCACAUGAUAUUUUAACUUCCAGCUCAUAUAAGUAUCCUUUCUUUUCCAAUUAUUGUUUUGUGCUUUGGGGCAAAAUGGAUACUGAGUCAAAAGAGAAUAUAAAGACACAGAGUUUUCAUCUCAGUGCUUUUUCCAUUUAAAUUCCAUAAAAAGUAAGAAACCUCAAGAAAAGGAAGUUUUCAUAUACAUAUGAACUGCUAGGAUGAUUAUGUUGAAGGAGAAGGAAACAGAGAAGUCUGGGUUUCAAUGUUACCGCUGCUACAUAAUCUUAGGAAAGUCGCUGUAAUUUAAAAAGACUUGUCUCAUAUGCAGAAUGGGAAUAACGAUGCUAUUGCUUUGGAUUAUUAUGAGAAUUAAAUGUGUCAAUGUAUAUUAAGGUGUUUUGUGUAUGGUAAAACUUUAUACAAAUAUUAGUCAAUUUCAUCACGUGAAGAUUUACAGCUACUCAAGGACAUUUCUGUUGGGAGCACAGCUUUCAUAAAGAAGCUAUAGAACUCACACUUGAGGGAAGGCAGCUGUAGAAUGGAUUGAAAAGAAUCCAAGAAACAAAUUAUACCAUUGUUUGCAUCAAGAUAGCCUACAGCAAUAAAUCAGCCACAUUCAUUCCCAUGCACCUGCAAAUAAACAUGAGUGACGGAUACUGUGCAGGCACUCUUGCGGUGGAAAGAAAAUUAAAUCAGAGUUCUGGUGUGGCUUGAAAUUCUUAAAGCUUGAGA
This 4096-nucleotide long non-coding RNA is filed under the name Equus caballus (horse). RNAcentral describes it as "lncRNA (ENSECAG00000054378.1)". The record is from RNAcentral. Lineage: Eukaryota; Metazoa; Chordata; Mammalia; Perissodactyla; Equidae.